CCCGCACAAGCGGUGGAGCAUGUGGUUAAUUCGACGCAACGCGAAGAACCUUACCAGGGCUUGACAUCCCCUGACCGCGUAUGAAAGUACGUUUUCACCCUCGGGUGACAGGGAGACAGGUGGUGCAUGGUUGUCGUCAGCUCGUGUCGUGAGAUGUUGGGUUAAGUCCCGCAACGAGCGCAACCCCUACGUUUAGUUGCUAACGCGUGAAGGCGAGCACUCUAGACGAACUGCCGUUGACAAAACGGAGGAAGGUGGGGAUGACGUCAAAUCAUCAUGCCCCUUAUGUUCUGGGCUACACACGUGCUACAAUGGCCGGUGCAGACGGACGCAAAGCCGCGAGGUGGAGCAAAUCCUAAAAAGCCGGUCUCAGUUCGGAUUGCAGGCUGCAAUUCGCCUGCAUGAAGUCGGAAUCGCUAGUAAUCGCAGGUCAGCAUACUGCGGUGAAUACGUUCCCGGGCCUU
This 464-nucleotide ribosomal RNA is filed under the name uncultured Pelotomaculum sp. RNAcentral's name for it is "bacterial SSU rRNA". It matches the Rfam family "Bacterial small subunit ribosomal RNA", at positions 920 to 1382 of the family's 1533-position model. Lineage: Bacteria; Bacillati; Bacillota; Clostridia; Eubacteriales; Desulfotomaculaceae. The record is from RNAcentral.